AACGAACGCUGGCGGCAGGCCUAACACAUGCAAGUCGAACGCUGCAGCAAUGCAGAGUGGCAGACGGGUGAGUAACGCGUGGGAACAUUCCAAAUGGUACGGCAUAGCCCAGGGAAACUUGGGGUAAUACCGUAUAAGCCCCAUGGGGGAAAGAUUUAUCGCCAUUGGAUGGGCCCGCGUCGGAUUAGCUAGUUGGUGAGGUAACGGCUCACCAAGGCGACGAUCCGUAGCUGGUUUGAGAGAAUGACCAGCCACACUGGGACUGAGACACGGCCCAGACUCCUACGGGAGGCAGCAGUGGGGAAUCUUGGACAAUGGGCGAAAGCCUGAUCCAGCCAUGCCGCGUGAGUGACGAAGGCCUUAGGGUUGUAAAGCUCUUUUGGCGGGGACGAUAAUGACGGUACCCGCAGAAUAAGUCCCGGCUAACUUCGUGCCAGCAGCCGCCGUAA
Molecule: ribosomal RNA, 449 nt
Filed under: uncultured bacterium
Lineage: Bacteria
Description: partial 16S ribosomal RNA
Rfam family: Bacterial small subunit ribosomal RNA
Source: RNAcentral